RNAcentral lists this long non-coding RNA (846 nucleotides) under Lathyrus oleraceus (garden pea). Its description in RNAcentral is "Pisum sativum (pea) long non-coding RNA (PSAT_LNC035440)". Lineage: Eukaryota; Viridiplantae; Streptophyta; Magnoliopsida; Fabales; Fabaceae. The record is from RNAcentral.
AGAAUAUGAAGCCGAUGAACAUUUACGUGGAAUUUCAAACUUUGUUGAAAGUGCUGAUGGAAAAUGGGCUUAUAGCAGCACAGGAGUAUUUCUAGGAAAUGAAAAAGCUGAUUAUGUGGCAAGAAAUGUUUUCUCUUUGAAUAUUAAUGAGUCUUAGGAAAUGAAAAAGCUGAUUAUGUGGCAAGAAAUGUUUUCUCUUUGAAUAUUAAUGAGUCUUCUGGACACUACUACCAAACAGCCCGCAUUGCGCCGAUAUCUCUUAACUACUUUGGAUUUUGUAUGAAGAAGGGAAAUUAUAAUGUGAAACUUCAUUUUGCUGAGAUAAUGUUUUCUAAUGACCAGACUUUUAGCAGUUUUGGAAGGCGCAUAUUCGAUGUUUCAAUUCAAGUAAGUAAUGAAUACACAACUACUUCUUUCUUAGGCUUUGUUUGGUAAGCAUCUUAAUCAUGCACUUAUAGCAUAAACUUUUAUCAUAUAAGUGCUUGCUUGUGUAUAACCUAUUUCUAUAACAAAUGAUACCACAAAAUCAAACCCUUCUCAUUUUUUAAGCUAUCUUAUAGAGUUUAUGGAAUUUAGUUGAAAACAGCUUAUGGACAUGUCUUAAAGCUGUUCCUAUAAGCUCUUACAAACAGUUAAGCUUGUACUUGUGUCCGUAGAUAAACUCAAAUAAACCAAUCCAAACCGGCGCUUAGUUUCUAGUUUCUACUAAAAUGUUGCUCAUAUUUGGUAUCUGGUUUCUAACAAAUCUAAAGUUCCGAAUUUCAAAAAUAUAUAAUGACAGGGUCAUAAAUAUUUAAAAGACUUUAACAUUAUGGAAGAAGCCGGUGGAGUUGGCAAGGGAAUUAC